Non-coding RNA from Anolis sagrei ordinatus, 260 nucleotides. The record is from RefSeq and is a predicted model, not a curated record. NCBI's taxonomy places the organism in Eukaryota, Metazoa, Chordata, Lepidosauria, Squamata, Anolidae.
AGAGCCAAACACGGAGAGCCCCCUCAACACAGAGGCCGCAGAGCUCUGGAAGAACCAGCCAGCUUACAAGAAACGCCUCCACGAAUCGUACGCAAAGCAUAUGAAGAGCCAGGAAAGCUGAUGAGCCCCCCCUCUGCCCCCCCCCCACGUGUGCCCUUUGACCUCUUCGUCCUCUUGGCCUCUGCGUACUCGUAUUAUAGACUGUUUUUAAAUUUAUUUGGUCUUUUCACCCUCCUUUUAAUGUAUAAAUAAACACAUUU